Long non-coding RNA from Hibiscus syriacus, 141 nucleotides. RefSeq lists it as uncharacterized. The record is from RefSeq and is a predicted model, not a curated record. The transcript is spliced from 3 exons. Lineage: Eukaryota; Viridiplantae; Streptophyta; Magnoliopsida; Malvales; Malvaceae.
CUUACGUCAUUUCCGUAACGGUGAAGUCAAUGACUCGAUAAUUAAGGAUAAGAAUUCUAUUUCUCAACAAAAGCGUGAAAAACAGCUUAAAAGCCUGGGUUUUCUUAAACGUAAGAAACCAUCAUAUUCGAACUAUGCUGU